This is a small nuclear RNA of Erinaceus europaeus (western European hedgehog), 127 nucleotides long. The record is from Ensembl. NCBI's taxonomy places the organism in Eukaryota, Metazoa, Chordata, Mammalia, Eulipotyphla, Erinaceidae.
GUGUUGUAUGAAAGGAAGGAAAGUUAGCCCUCCCCUUGACAAGUAUGGAAGAGGCUUUGGCCUGCAACGCACAUAUGGUUGAUUAAGGUAUUGCCACCUACUUUGUGGCAUCUAACUGCAGUAUUUU